GGCGUACAGGACGAACGCUGGCGGCGUGCCUAACACAUGCAAGUCGAGCGAGGAGAUCCUUCGGGAUGAUCCUAGCGGCGGACGGGUGAGUAACACGUGGACAACCUGCCUCAUAGAGAGGAAUAGCCUUCCGAAAGGGAGAUUAAUACCUCAUAACAUUGCAGUUUCGCAUGGAACAGCAAUUAAAGGAGUAAUCCGCUAUGAGAUGGGCCCGCGGCGCAUUAGCUAGUUGGUGAGGUAACGGCUCACCAAGGCGACGAUGCGUAGCCGACCUGAGAGGGUGAUCGGCCACAUUGGGACUGAGACACGGCCCAGACUCCUACGGGAGGCAGCAGUGGGGAAUAUUGCACAAUGGGGGAAACCCUGAUGCAGCCAACGCCGCGUGAGUGAUGACGGCCUUCGGGUUGUAAAGCUCUGUCUUCAGGGACGAUAAUGACGGUACCUGAGGAGGAAGCCACGGCUAACUACGUGCCAGCAGCUGC
Molecule: ribosomal RNA, 482 nt
Filed under: uncultured bacterium
Lineage: Bacteria
Description: bacterial SSU rRNA
Rfam family: Bacterial small subunit ribosomal RNA
Source: RNAcentral